UAGGGAAUCUUCGGCAAUGGACGAAAGUCUGACCGAGCAACGCCGCGUGAGUGAAGAAGGUUUUCGGAUCGUAAAACUCUGUUGUUAGAGAAGAACAAGGACGUUAGUAACUGAACGUCCCCUGACGGUAUCUAACCAGAAAGCCACGGCUAACUACGUGCCAGCAGCCGCGGUAAUACGUAGGUGGCAAGCGUUGUCCGGAUUUAUUGGGCGUAAAGCGAGCGCAGGCGGUUUCUUAAGUCUGAUGUGAAAGCCCCCGGCUCAACCGGGGAGGGUCAUUUGAAACUGGGAGGCUUGAGUGCAGAAGAGGGGAGUGGAAUUCCAUGUGUAGCGGUGAAAUGCGUAGAUAUAUGGAGGAACACCAGUGGCGAAGGCGGCUCUCUGGUCUGUAACUGACGCUGAGGCUCGAAAGCGUGGGGAGCAAACAGG
This 429-nucleotide ribosomal RNA is filed under the name Gemmatimonadota bacterium. RNAcentral's name for it is "Gemmatimonadetes bacterium partial 16S ribosomal RNA". It matches the Rfam family "Bacterial small subunit ribosomal RNA", at positions 355 to 776 of the family's 1533-position model. The record is from RNAcentral. Lineage: Bacteria; Pseudomonadati; Gemmatimonadota.